AUGCAUGUCUAAGUACACGCCUUUACACGGCUAAACUGCGAAUGGCUCAUUAAAUCAGUUAUGGUUCCUUAGAUCGUACAAUCCUACUUGGAUAACUGUGGCAAUUCUAGAGCUAAUACAUGCAACACAGCUCCGACCCUCGCGGGGAAGAGCGCUUUUGUUAGCCCAAAACCAACGCGGCGGUCGUUCACGCGGCCGUCGCUCAAGUAUGGUGACUCUGAACAACUUUGUGCCGAUCGCACGGCCUUUGAGCCGGCGACGAAUCUUUCAAGUGUCUGCCCUAUCAACUUUCGAUGGUACGUGCUAUGCCUACCAUGGUGAUAACGGGUAAC
This 332-nucleotide ribosomal RNA is filed under the name Bankia bipennata. Its description in RNAcentral is "SSU rRNA". It matches the Rfam family "Eukaryotic small subunit ribosomal RNA", at positions 51 to 363 of the family's 1831-position model. The record is from RNAcentral. Lineage: Eukaryota; Metazoa; Mollusca; Bivalvia; Myida; Teredinidae.